ACGGCCGCAAGGCUAAAACUCAAAGGAAUUGAAGGGGACCCGCACAAGCGGUGGAGCAUGUGGCUUAAUUCGAUGCAACGCGAAGAACCUUACCUGGUCUUGACAUACUGCGAACUUUCUAGAGAUAGAUUGGUGCCUUCGGGAACGCAGUGACAGGUGCUGCACGGCUGUAGUCAGCUCGUGUUGUGAAAUGUUGGGUUACGUCCCGCAACGAGCGCAACCCCUAUUGAUAGUUACCAUCAUUAAGUUGGGUACUCUAUUAAGAC
This 266-nucleotide ribosomal RNA is filed under the name Francisella tularensis subsp. holarctica. RNAcentral describes it as "partial 16S ribosomal RNA". It matches the Rfam family "Bacterial small subunit ribosomal RNA", at positions 882 to 1149 of the family's 1533-position model. Lineage: Bacteria; Pseudomonadati; Pseudomonadota; Gammaproteobacteria; Thiotrichales; Francisellaceae. The record is from RNAcentral.